Molecule: ribosomal RNA, 497 nt
Filed under: uncultured bacterium
Lineage: Bacteria
Description: partial 16S ribosomal RNA
Rfam family: Bacterial small subunit ribosomal RNA
Source: RNAcentral
GAUGAACGCUGGCGGCGUGCCUAAUACAUGCAAGUCGAGCGAACAGACGAGGAGCUUGCUCCUCUGACGUUAGCGGCGGACGGGUGAGUAACACGUGGAUAACCCGCCUAUAAGACUGGGAUAACUUCGGGAAACCGGAGCUAAUACCGGAUAAUAUAUUGAACCGCAUGGUUCAAUAGUGAAAGACGGUUUUGCUGUCACUUAUAGAUGGAUCCGCGCCGCAUUAGCUAGUUGGUAAGGUAACGGCUUACCAAGGCAACGAUGCGUAGCCGACCUGAGAGAGUGAUCGCCCACACUGGAACUGAGACCCGGUCCAGACUCCUACGGGAGGCAGCAGUAGGGAAUCUUACGCAAUGGGCGGAAGCCUGACGGAGCAACGCCGCGUGAGUGAUGAAGGUCUUCGGAUCGUGAAACUCUGUUAUUAGGGAAGAACAAAUGUGUAAGUAACUAUGCACGUCUUGACGGUACCUGAUCAGAAAGCCCCGGCUAACUACGUG